Myotis davidii is the source of this 81-nucleotide non-coding RNA. The record is from Rfam. NCBI's taxonomy places the organism in Eukaryota, Metazoa, Chordata, Mammalia, Chiroptera, Vespertilionidae.
AGGCCCAGAGAGAGAGGCAGGGUCUGAUCCGUAGCCUCUAUGACAGCUGUUGAUCAGCCAUUGCCUCUCUCUUUUUCUUCG